UACGUAGGGGGCGAGCGUUGUCCGGAAUCAUUGGGCGUAAAGAGCGUGUAGGCGGGCCGGAAGGUCUGGUGUGAAAGCCCGGGGCUCAACCCCGGAGGGUCACCGGAAACCGACGGUCUUGAAUCUGGAAGAGGAGAGUGGAAUUCCUGGUGUAGCGGUGGAAUGCGCAGAUAUCAGGAGGAACACCAAUGGCGAAGGCAACUCUCUGGUACAUGAUUGACGCUGAGACGCGAAAGCGUGGGGAGCGAACAGG
This 253-nucleotide ribosomal RNA is filed under the name uncultured bacterium. RNAcentral describes it as "partial 16S ribosomal RNA". It matches the Rfam family "Bacterial small subunit ribosomal RNA", at positions 524 to 776 of the family's 1533-position model. The record is from RNAcentral.